RNAcentral lists this ribosomal RNA (483 nucleotides) under uncultured bacterium. RNAcentral describes it as "partial 16S ribosomal RNA". It matches the Rfam family "Bacterial small subunit ribosomal RNA", at positions 30 to 507 of the family's 1533-position model. The record is from RNAcentral.
UUGAACGCUGGCGGCAGGCCUAACACAUGCAAGUCGAGCGGAUGAAGGGAGCUUGCUCCUGGACUCAGCGGCGGACGGGUGAGUAAUGCCUAGGAAUCUGCCUGGUAGUGGGGGAUAACGUCCGGAAACGGGCGCUAAUACCGCAUACGUCCUGAGGGAGAAAGUGGGGGAUCUUCGGACCUCACGCUAUCAGAUGAGCCUAGGUCGGAUUAGCUAGUUGGUGGGGUAAAGGCCUACCAAGGCGACGAUCCGUAACUGGUCUGAGAGGAUGAUCAGUCACACUGGAACUGAGACACGGUCCAGACUCCUACGGGAGGCAGCAGUGGGGAAUAUUGGACAAUGGGCGAAAGCCUGAUCCAGCCAUGCCGCGUGUGUGAAGAAGGUCUUCGGAUUGUAAAGCACUUUAAGUUGGGAGGAAGGGCAGUAAGUUAAUACCUUGCUGUUUUGACGUUACCAACAGAAUAAGCACCGGCUAACUUCGUG